RNAcentral lists this long non-coding RNA (1172 nucleotides) under Equus asinus (donkey). RNAcentral's name for it is "lncRNA (ENSEASG00005030391.1)". The record is from RNAcentral. Lineage: Eukaryota; Metazoa; Chordata; Mammalia; Perissodactyla; Equidae.
CGCGUAUCCACUGGCCUGCUUCUCCCCACAAACCGUCACGUCACACACGGGCUGCCCCACACCUCACACUCGGAGCAGUACGCAGGGCACGUAUGACAAGUCACGUCCCACAGCCACAAAAACUCACAGACGAGGGUCCGGUCCUAGGCCGCCUGACGAGGCCAAAGUUGAGGGGUCGAAAGGCCGGGCUGCAGGCAUAACUGGAGCCAAGUACCGAACUACACAUCCCAGAAGCCACUGCUGCCGGAGUCCAAUCACAGCCCGGAUCCGUCUUCCCAGCAUCCCUUGGGCGACCGGCCCUUUAGAAUGGGCGGGCCGUGGCUCCUUCGCCUCUGGACCAUAUUUCCCAGAAGGGACUGCGGGUCCCUGUGGGUCUGGCGCCUCCGGGUUCCUCAGGCUGGGCCGGAGACUGAGCUCCAGGCGUCCGGGGCGGGACCCAUGCGGCGUCUCUGCGCCAUCUUGCGUCAGAGCGAUUGUCGCGUGUGAGGGCGAGCGGGAGGCCCUUCCGGUCCGCAGCGCGGGAGCUCCUUGGCCAACACGGUACCGAGGGCAGUACGGGAACUUGGACCACACCAGGUAAUCAAAGGAUGUGACUUAGGCUGGGCUCUGUAUCACAGUAUCAGCGUGACCUCCAGAGGGGCUGGAGACUGAGGAGAGCCACAUGAGGAACCCAUCAUGUCGACGUGACGGAGCCCAAUAAAGAAUGACACCAGGGGUCGGGGGCUUCCCUGGCAGGCGAUACUCUGUGCAUACUGUCACACAUGGCUGGGGAGGUGUUUAUGCUGUCCAUGACUCCAACACGGGAAUGGAAGCUCUGCAUCUAGAACCCUCCUGGACUCUGCCCCAUGCUGGCUGAUUGUAAUGUACAUCUUUUCACUGUAAUAAACCAUAACCACAAAUAUAAAAGUUUUUUGUGUGUGUGUACGAGGAAGAUUGGCCCUGAGCUAACAUCUGUGCUAAUCUUCCUCUAUUUUGUAUGUGGGAUGCCGCCAUAGCGUGGCUUGAUGAGCAGUGCUAGGUCCGUGCCCAGAAUCCAAACCUGCAAACCCCAGGCCACCAAAGCAGAGAGCAUGAACUUAACUACUAUGCUACCCAGCUGGCCCCAGUAUAAAAGUUUUUAGUAAGUUCUGUGAGUCCUUCUAGUGAGUUAUUGAACCUGAGGGUGAUCUUUG